GUGGCUGAACAGAGCGCGCUUCUGCUUCAUUGUUCUCUUCCCCUCCGUGCUGUGACCUGCUGCCCCGUCUCGCUUAAUACGCCCUUGGCUUGUUCUGACUUUGACUCUCCUUAUCUUGCCUCAUUAUCUCAGGACAGCUUUGUUCUUCCUUCAUCUCCCUGCUGCAAGUAGCAGAUAAGUUUGUCUUGUGCCCGUAUGUGUUGAGCCCUUUUCCCCUGUGCUUCCCCUCUACUUCUGCGCUGCCUGUGGCAAGGCUGCCUCCGUGUUGCUCCUUGACCCGUGGUAGUCACUGAGCUGGUAGAAAACAUGCUUUGCAGCACCUGCAUUUGUAGAGGUGUUUGCUUUUUUUAUGCAGAGAAGACAAGUCAUCAGUUCAUUGGGGACCAAACGCCACCCCAUCCGGAUACUGGAAGGCUUGCAUCACCUCCAGUGGCAAAAGAAAUUCUCUGUCCCUACAGCCACCGUUUUGUUGGCUCACAGUCUGGAUGCAGCUCCUCUGGGGUUAGGUGACAUUUAAAUGGAUCCUCUUCCCUAACAACUUCAAGAGCAAGAAUGGAGUUGCCAUCCAGUCUUUACCAGAGACAGAUGCCACCUUUGGAUUUCCCAUCUGGAGACUCCCUAGGACUUGUUAGUGCUACCAGUUUGAGGUAGGUAGGGGUAAAGGUGGACUCCUGUGUCAGCAGACCCCUGUUGUAUCCCACAGGCAAAGGUUAUCGCUCAGCAAGGGGGCAUCUCUUCUGUGUUGGGUGGUGCCUGGAGCUGACAGCAGGGCUUUGAGUUGAGGAGCUGCAGUCAGGACGUGUUGGAGCAGUGUUGUGGAUUGAGCAGGCAGAGGUUAAACUGAAGGCAAAGGCUCACACUGUGACCAGGCUGGUGACCGUCAGAUGGGCUGGGUAGUUGGGGAGAGCUAAAGAAUCGGAAUGCAUCAAAGGAGGUGGUAGUUUGGGGUGAAGAGCCUCGAGACCAACUUCUGGUUUCUGCUCUUGAUGACAGUGAUCCUUAGCGAAAAAAGAGGUAUCCAUUGUCUUCGUGAGAAAGAUCCCUGGAUUUAAAUUUCUUUCCUGCUAUUCUCCAAAGAGAAUAUAAGAUCAAAGGGGGAGGCUGUCUCUGUAUAGCAGCCUCCAGCUGCUACCAGGCUCCGGAGCUCUGACUUCAGGCAAAAGCAAUGGGUGGUGCAUAGUAAAACAGUCUCAAUGCAAAGGACGUGGUAGGACGCGCUCAGCUGUAGUGCCGUACUGGAAAAAACCCAGCUUUCCCUCCACAUAUUUUGGGUCCAAGCCAGCAGCAAAGGCCCUAAGAAUGUGCCUUUUGCCUGUUUUGUGCCCUCGACCACCCUGGUGGUGGGGGAAGAGCGAUUCCAGCAUUUUGUGGGGCUGCCAUCUCUCACUUGAUGCCGAGGAGCGGUGGGAGGAGGAACAGCGGGUGCUCUUUGUGCAGAGAGGGACUACGGGGGUCUCUGACUCCCCUGCCCUGCAGUUCGGCUUUGCAGAGCAGCACCUUCCCCUCCCACCCUGCUGCUUUUCCUGCUCUCCGCUCUGCUUUCGUGUCCCUGUCCAGAGGCGAAGGUACCUCUGUCAUUCCCUGUCCUGGUUGCUGUUGGGGAGGUGCGAGCACGUGGUAUUGAUGAGCCAUGGUGGUGCAAAAAAUACUUUUUUUUUUUAUGCCCUCUCUGCCCCUUCUUUUCUUUCAGUGACAUUUGGCCUCUCCUUUCCCCCUUCCGUGGAUAGUCCUAAAACCUUCAGCUAUAUUUUGGCCAGCACUGGUUUCAUCCCAGCCCCUCCCAGUCCCUCUGAGACUGGUCCCUGCUGCUGAAGGGGAAGACGGGCCAGCAGUGGUUGGAGGCCCCAUAA
This is a long non-coding RNA of Aquila chrysaetos chrysaetos, 1850 nucleotides long. RefSeq lists it as uncharacterized. Lineage: Eukaryota; Metazoa; Chordata; Aves; Accipitriformes; Accipitridae. The record is from RefSeq and is a predicted model, not a curated record. The transcript is spliced from 2 exons.